This 393-nucleotide long non-coding RNA is filed under the name Phoenix dactylifera (date palm). RNAcentral describes it as "long non-coding RNA (PDAC_LNC013641)". The record is from RNAcentral. Lineage: Eukaryota; Viridiplantae; Streptophyta; Magnoliopsida; Arecales; Arecaceae.
AGGCAUAUCCGGUGAAGUCUUCCAUACGUGCUCUUUCCUUUCUUGCCCUAGUUCUCCUACAUAUAGUCUAAAGGCAUGACCACCAAAUCAAUACAAUUGGCUUUUUUUCAUUUGAAACUCCAUCAUGAAACUGGUCAUAGUAUUGUCGUUGGCAUUCUAUGCUGUCAUUUCAAUCGGCAGCGCAGUUCGGGUUAUGAACACUGGUGGAUUCGGUGAGAGAGAGAGGGCGUCAUCGUAUUCUCCUCCUUCUCCACACCCCCAUCCCCCAAUCCACCCGUUGGAGGCUCCACCUCCGCAUUGUUUGUUCGAGCGUUCGGCCAAUGUAGCUUCUUCGAGCCCUCCACCUCCUCCAUCUUCGCUUUUGCCACUUUCUUCGGUAUCGCCUCCACUUUC